This 239-nucleotide ribosomal RNA is filed under the name uncultured bacterium. RNAcentral's name for it is "partial 16S ribosomal RNA". It matches the Rfam family "Bacterial small subunit ribosomal RNA", at positions 95 to 334 of the family's 1533-position model. The record is from RNAcentral.
CCGGCGCACGGGUGAGUAACACGUAUCCAACCUGCCGUCUACUCUUGGACAGCCUUCUGAAAGGAAGAUUAAUACAAGAUGGCAUCAUUAGUCCGCAUGUUCACAUGAUUAAAGGUAUUCCGGUAGACGAUGGGGAUGCGUUCCAUUAGAUAGUAGGCGGGGUAACGGCCCACCUAGUCUUCGAUGGAUAGGGGUUCUGAGAGGAAGGUCCCCCACAUUGGAACUGAGACACGGUCCAA